AGUGAACGCUGGCGGUAGGCCUAACUCAUGCAAGUCGAACGGCAGCACAGGAGAGCUUGCUCUCUGGGUGGCGAGUGGCGGACGGGUGAGGAAUACAUCGGAAUCUACUCUGUCGUGGGGGAUAACGUAGGGAAACUUACGCUAAUACCGCAUACGACCUACGGGUGAAAGCAGGGGUCCUUCGGGCCUUGCGCGAUUGAAUGAGCCGAUGUCGGAUUAGCUAGUCGGCGGGGUAAAGGCCCACCAAGGCGACGAUCCGUAGCUGGUCUGAGAGGAUGAUCAGCCACACUGGAACUGAGUCACGGUCCAGACUCCUACGGGAGGCAGCAGUGGGGAAUAUUGGACGAUGGGCGCAAGCCUGAUCCAGCCAUACCGCGUGGGUGAAGAAGGCCUUCGGGUUGUAAAGCCCUUUUGUUGGGAAAGAAAUCCAGCUGGCUAAUACCCGGUUGGGAUGACGGUACCCAAAGAAUAAGCACCGGCUAACUUCGUGCCAGCCGCCGCAGUAA
This 506-nucleotide ribosomal RNA is filed under the name uncultured bacterium. RNAcentral describes it as "partial 16S ribosomal RNA". It matches the Rfam family "Bacterial small subunit ribosomal RNA", at positions 29 to 523 of the family's 1533-position model. The record is from RNAcentral.